This 408-nucleotide ribosomal RNA is filed under the name Escherichia coli. RNAcentral describes it as "partial 23S ribosomal RNA". It matches the Rfam family "Bacterial large subunit ribosomal RNA", at positions 2259 to 2666 of the family's 2925-position model. The record is from RNAcentral. Lineage: Bacteria; Pseudomonadati; Pseudomonadota; Gammaproteobacteria; Enterobacterales; Enterobacteriaceae.
UGGUGGGUAGUUUGACUGGGGCGGUCUCCUCCUAAAGAGUAACGGAGGAGCACGAAGGUUGGCUAAUCCUGGUCGGACAUCAGGAGGUUAGUGCAAUGGCAUAAGCCAGCUUGACUGCGAGCGUGACGGCGCGAGCAGGUGCGAAAGCAGGUCAUAGUGAUCCGGUGGUUCUGAAUGGAAGGGCCAUCGCUCAACGGAUAAAAGGUACUCCGGGGAUAACAGGCUGAUACCGCCCAAGAGUUCAUAUCGACGGCGGUGUUUGGCACCUCGAUGUCGGCUCAUCACAUCCUGGGGCUGAAGUAGGUCCCAAGGGUAUGGCUGUUCGCCAUUUAAAGUGGUACGCGAGCUGGGUUUAGAACGUCGUGAGACAGUUCGGUCCCUAUCUGCCGUGGGCGCUGGAGAACUGAG